RNAcentral lists this ribosomal RNA (253 nucleotides) under uncultured bacterium. RNAcentral's name for it is "partial 16S ribosomal RNA". It matches the Rfam family "Bacterial small subunit ribosomal RNA", at positions 524 to 776 of the family's 1533-position model. The record is from RNAcentral.
GACAGAGGUGCCGAGCGUUAGGCGGAAUCACUGGGCUUAAAGCGUGUGUAGGCGGGCGGGCAAGUACCUUGUGAAAUCCCACGGCUCAACCGUGGAACGGCUGGGUAUACUGCCUGUCUUGAGCCAACUAGGGGCGAGCGGAACAGACGGUGGAGCGGUGAAAUGCGUAGAUAUCGUCUGGAACGCCAAAGGUGAAAACAGCUCGCUAGGGUUGUGCUGACGCUGAGACGCGAAAGCGUGGGGAGCAAACAGG